CGGACGGGUGAGUAAUGCUUGGGAAUCUGGCUCAUGGAGGGGGAUAACUACGGGAAACUGUAGCUAUACCGCGUAGUAUCGGAAGAUGAAAGUGUGGGACCGCAAGGCCACAUGCCAUGAGAUGAGCCCAAGUGGGAUUAGGUAGUUGGUUAGGUAAAGGCUGACCAAGCCGACGAUCUCUAGCUGGUCUGAGAGGAUGACCAGCCACACUGGAACUGAGACACGGUCCAGACUCCUACGGGAGGCAGCAGUGGGGAAUAUUGCACAAUGGGGGAAACCCUGAUGCAGCCAUGCCGCGUGAAUGAAGAAGGCCUUCGGGUUGUAAAGUUCUUUCGGUGAUGAGGAAGGUGUUUGUUUUAAUAGGACAAGCAAUUGACGUUAGUCACAGAAGAAGCACCGGCUAACUCCGUGCCAGCAGCCGCGGUAAUACGGAGGGUGCGAGCGUUAAUCGGAAUAACUGGGCGUAAAGGGCACGCAGGCGGUGACUUAAGUGAGAUGUGAAAGCCCCGAGCUUAACUUGGGAAUUGCAUUUCAUACUGGGUCGCUAGAGUACUUUAGGGAGGGGUAGAAUUCCACGUGUAGCGGUGAAAUGCGUAGAGAUGUGGAGGAAUACCGAAGGCGAAGGCAGCCCCUUGGGAAUGUACUGACGCUCAUGUGCGAAAGCGUGGGGAGCAAACAGGAUUAGAUACCCUGGUAGUCCCACGCUGUAACGCUGU
This 716-nucleotide ribosomal RNA is filed under the name uncultured Actinobacillus sp. Its description in RNAcentral is "bacterial SSU rRNA". It matches the Rfam family "Bacterial small subunit ribosomal RNA", at positions 99 to 812 of the family's 1533-position model. The record is from RNAcentral. Lineage: Bacteria; Pseudomonadati; Pseudomonadota; Gammaproteobacteria; Pasteurellales; Pasteurellaceae.